This is a long non-coding RNA of Osmerus eperlanus (European smelt), 444 nucleotides long. RefSeq lists it as uncharacterized. Lineage: Eukaryota; Metazoa; Chordata; Actinopteri; Osmeriformes; Osmeridae. The transcript is spliced from 3 exons. The record is from RefSeq and is a predicted model, not a curated record.
UUGUAUGUUUGCGUGUCCAAUUCAUGAGGUGCAGCUCCAUACUUUGGCCACUAGAGGGGGGGCCAUGCACUAGGAGGAGUGGAGAAGAGAGGAGCACAGCAUCAAAUACAGACACUGUUACCAUUUCAACAACGUGGGGAUAGAAUGGAGCCCAGUAAGGGUAUCCGAUACUGCUACAUGGAGGCUGUUACGAGUCCCAUGAAAGUGCAACAAAAUUUCACCAGGCGAAUUUCCCCUCUGAUUUGUGCCAGUGGUUACCACCCUUUAAAAUGGGCAUGUGUGCAUAGUGUGCCAUACUGCCCAGCAGAGACCGUCACGUGAUUCAGAUUGAAAAGACUGGGAGCUUCUAAAAAGUGCUGGUGGAUACCGCCCUCAAGGCAGCCGUUGCUGCCUGUGUGAAUGCAACGUUAUGAACAAUUAAUGUUCACAACAUAAAAGUGUGAC